GUGGGGAAUAUUGCGCAAUGGGGGAAACCCUGACGCAGCGACGCCGUGUGAGGGAAGAAGGUUUUCGGAUCGUAAACUUCUAUCCUUGGUGAAGAUAAUGACGGUAGCCAAGAAGGAAGCCCCGGCUAACUACGUGCCAGCAGCCGCGGUAAUACGUAGGGGGCAAGCGUUGUCCGGAAUGAUUGGGCGUAAAGGGCGCGUAGGCGGCCUGGUAAGUCUGGAGUGAAAGUCCUGCUUUUAAGGUGGGAAUUGCUUUGGAUACUGUCGGGCGUGAGUGCAGGAGAGGUAAGCGGAAUUCCCGGUGUAGCGGUGAAAUGCGUAGAGAUCGGGAGGAACACCAGUGGCGAAGGCGGCUUACUGGACUGUAACUGACGCUGAGGCGCGAAAGUGUGGGGAGCAAACAGGAUUAGAUACCCCAGUAGUCC
Molecule: ribosomal RNA, 425 nt
Filed under: uncultured bacterium
Lineage: Bacteria
Description: partial 16S ribosomal RNA
Rfam family: Bacterial small subunit ribosomal RNA
Source: RNAcentral